Molecule: small RNA, 1109 nt
Filed under: Drosophila pseudoobscura pseudoobscura
Lineage: Eukaryota; Metazoa; Arthropoda; Insecta; Diptera; Drosophilidae
Description: GA29028
Source: RNAcentral
AGCACUGCCAUCUCAAUUGGAUUUGUGGGGCAGACAUUCCCGUGGACGGCCGUUUUGAAGACUAGCGGUGCCCUUUGGCGCAGUUUUGGCCAACAACUCCGCCCUGCCUCCACCCCCAGAAGACCAAAUUCAUUUCAACAGACCCUUGACUGAAAACGGCAUCUGGACAGCGUCUUCAGGAUUCUGCCGUGGGGAAUGGGGCCUGCUUCACCCCUGUCAACAAAGAGCGUCAUUCCGUGGAGCUGCAUCGUCUGUCGCAGUUCACCGACAUCCAGGCCGUGUGGACACCGGAUGCGAAAGUGCUGUGCAAUCACACGGCACAGUCGCCCAAGUUGUUUCCACAUCUGCAUAGCCAGCGGGGUGUGACACGCAGUACUCACGACGUCUGCUCGAGCACAAGCAUCUGAUGCUACUGGAGGACUAGGAGUACUACGGCGUGUAUACGGCCAGAUAAUUUUAAGUGGCGGCAGUAGUGACAAUACAACGACUGUAUAUCCGACUUCUGGCGCUGUGACGAAAGGGCUGCCCGGCGGAUCAGUUCAGCUGACAGUCAGCCGAGGGCAGCGACAAGGCUCUGAUCUGGGAUGGUACCACAUGUGACAACUGUGACAAUGCCUGUGGCCGACUGCUGCAAGCGGCCAGAAGACUUUCAGCUUUGCAUCGGCCGCCCUGCUCUGCGAUGGCUGGGAACUGUGCCGAUGGUGCGAACGAUUCGUUCGAUAUUUUUUUUGCAGGGCCACGCAUGGCCCAUACGCAUAAGGUGUACUGCUCGUCCUUCAUAGCCUCUGAAAACGGCGCGUGGUGAAGGACCGGUGAAGGCAUCUCCGCCAGAGGCGCCGGUUGAGGAAUCAGAGCCGGGGCCUGCUCCGGAGCUGAAGAAGGUACUGUCGGUUGCCAUCUCCGUGGGCGUGGUUUCGGCUGCUCCGGAGCCCGCAGCCGAGGAGCCCCCUACACAGGCCGAGGCCACUGAGGAGGCCUACUACUAGAAUUAUAUCUAUGUUUAUGUGUUCAUUGUGACGAGCAUAAAACUCCCAGUCGUAAAUAGAUAACAUGGUUUAUUGUUACCAAAGUCUACUCUACAAUUAAACAAACUUGCUAGGACAUCUAAA